RNAcentral lists this ribosomal RNA (499 nucleotides) under uncultured Halorubrum sp. Its description in RNAcentral is "bacterial SSU rRNA". It matches the Rfam family "Archaeal small subunit ribosomal RNA", at positions 384 to 881 of the family's 1478-position model. Lineage: Archaea; Methanobacteriati; Methanobacteriota; Halobacteria; Halobacteriales; Haloferacaceae. The record is from RNAcentral.
GGUGCGUAGGCAUAGAGCCUACGCUUUUGUCCACCNUAGGGAGGUGGACGAAUAAGGGCUGGGCAAGACCGGUGCCAGCCGCCGCGGUAAUACCGGCAGCCCGAGUGAUGGCCGAUUUUAUUGGGCCUAAAGCGUCCGUAGCUGGCCGNACAAGUCCAUCGGAAAAUCCACCCGCUCAACGGGUGGGCGUCCGGUGGAAACUGUGUGGCUUGGGACCGGAAGGCNCGACGGGUACGUCCGGGGUAGGAGUGAAAUCCCGUAAUCCUGGACGGACCGCCGAUGGCGAAAGCACGUCNCGANAACGGAUCCGACAGUGAGGGACGAAAGCUAGGGUCUCGAACCGGAUUAGAUACCCGGGUAGUCCUAGCCGUAAACAAUGCCUGCUAGGUGUGGCUCCCACUACGAGUGGGUGCUGUGCCGUAGGGAAGCCGCUAAGCAGGCCGCCUGGGAAGUACGUCCGCAAGGAUGAAACUUAAAGGAAUUGGCGGGGGGAGCACAA